Molecule: unclassified non-coding RNA, 235 nt
Filed under: plant metagenome
Description: partial contains small subunit ribosomal RNA, internal transcribed spacer 1, and 5.8S ribosomal RNA
Source: RNAcentral
UUUCCGUAGGUGAACCUGCGGAAGGAUCAUUAACGAGUAAGGGUCAUUCUGGCCCGACCUCCAACCCUAGGUUUAAUUACUAUGUUGCUUGGGCGGGCCCGUUUCACGACCUCCGGAAGUCCACGUACUUCUCGCCCGUUCCCGCCAAUAGCCUUCUCCAAACUCUUGAUCAAUCGUGUUGUCUGAUUAAUAAAUUUAAUAGUUAAAACUUUCAACAACGGAUCUCUUGGUUCUG